RNAcentral lists this ribosomal RNA (490 nucleotides) under uncultured bacterium. RNAcentral's name for it is "bacterial SSU rRNA". It matches the Rfam family "Bacterial small subunit ribosomal RNA", at positions 30 to 521 of the family's 1533-position model. The record is from RNAcentral.
CCUGAACGCUGGCGGCGUGGCUAAGACAUGCAAGUCGCACGGUGUAGCAAUACACAGUGGCGAACGGGUGAGUAAUGAAUCGCUAAUGUACCCCGGACUCUGGGAUAGCUAACCGAAAGGGUAGGUAAUACCAGAUGAGACCACGAACAGGCAUCUGUUUGUGCUCAAAGGUCCGCCGGUCUGGGAGCAGGCGAUUUCGUAUCAGCUAGUUGGUGAGGAACGGCUCACCAAGGCGACGACGCGUAGCCGGACUGAGAGGUUGGCCGGCCACAUCGGGACUGAGACACUGCCCGGACUCCUACGGGAGGCAGCAGUAAGGGAUCUUCCGCAAUGGGCGCAAGCCUGACGGAGCGACGCCGCGUGGACGAAGACGCCUUUCGGGGUGUAAACCACUGUCGGGAGGGACGAAUACAGGGCCUCGAAUAGGGGACCCGUGGGUGACGGUACCCUCAAAGGAAGCACCGGCUAACUCCGUGCCAGCCGCCGCAGU